RNAcentral lists this unclassified non-coding RNA (108 nucleotides) under soil metagenome. RNAcentral's name for it is "partial internal transcribed spacer 1". The record is from RNAcentral.
GUGAACGCCCUCACGGGCUUAUAACUAUUCCAAACCUCCUGUGAACCGUGCCCUUCGGGGCUAUUUUACAAACAUGGUGUAAUGAACGUCAUAUAUCAUAACAAAACA